UCCGGACAGCUAUGUCCUGGACUUUGUCAAGCCUUGACAAGAACUUCCUGACCUAACUGCAGGAGAUGUGACUAGAUAAGACCUUCCUGGCCUAACUGCAGGAGAUGGCGAUUAGGUAAACUUUCUGGAGCCUGUCAACUGCAGGGGGCCUGGGACCAAAGCGACCUCACCCUUCCUCAGGAAUUUUCCAUUCUUCUCUCCUUUUGCUUCCUCUGCUCCCCCUCCCUGCCUGAAGCCCUGCUUAUAAGUCUCAACACCCAGUCAAUAAACGAGACCUUGACGCGACUCAGACUGACUCUGUCUUCCCUUAUUGCGCCUGGUCUCCUUUCUCUCUCGCCCCCAUUGAUCUUUCAGGAGGUGCCUCCUCGGGUCUCCCCAAUAACCUGGCCCGCGGGACGGGUCAAGUGGCGCCCAACGUGGGGCCCGAGGCACGGUGACCUGCCGGACGACGGACAACAGAAGGGGCCCCCCCGGAGAGGAUCAGGGUAGAGACGCCCGGACCGCAUCACUCGUGCAACGCGGGAGAGUCUUGAGGCUCUCACUGGGACAGACGUGUCCGGACAGUGAACCUGGCGGCCAAGGGAGACGUCCCAGAGCCCUAAGGCCACCUCAGAGGUAACCAUUUGGUUUAGGAGCAUCUUUGGGUAUCUUCCCCCACGGUGGGAGGAAGUGCCACUUUGUAUUUUGUCCUGGGAAAUUGUCAGAGCCAUUUUAUGGGGUUUUUUUGUAUGUUUUGUUGUGAUCAUUGUUACUUUACUCUCUCCUUCUCUUCCAAGAAAAAAAAAAAAGGUGCAUGUCUGACUGACAGGGAUGUGGAAGCCCCUGAUGUCUGUUUGAUUUAAGGAUAGAGAUACUUGAGUCUGGAUUGUUUUUGAUAUGAUUGAGCCUGGAGGGUUGCCCUCCCCCCACCCAGAGCACAUCAGGCUGUCAUUGUUCUUGGAACUUUGUUGGUUGUUUUGUUGGGGCGAAGUUUUUUCAUGUGCCCUUGGUCUUGUGUGUAAUGUAUUAACUGUUCUCAAUGUUGACUUGACUGUGACGGACGCUAUGGGACAGUUCCCUUCUUCUCCACUAGACCUUUGCCUAGCCCACUAGAAGGAUGUUUGAGCCACAAUAGAGGGAACUGGGUCCCCCACCCCCACUCCCCGAUUGAACUGAGAUAAACAGGUAGCUCCUGCCUGAUGGGGCUUGCAUACUGUAAGAGGGGCUUGCUGGCUGUGAAUGAGGCCGUCAUCUCAGUGCUGAUGUUCCGGUUCUUGGAUUGUCUGUGUAAAUGUUAUUUAUUUCUGUCUACUAACCUCCCUUAUUUUCCUAAAGGAAGAGGAGGAAAGAGAGGCAUAACAAAGGCCACCUCCGUCCGUCCCUCCGUAGCUCUCUUGCUAUCAGGACUGCAGCCAGCUGGCUGCUCUCACGAGGGUGGGGGUGCAUGCUCUCCUUACAGGCGGGCAAAGACAGGAGCUCUGGACAGGGCAAUGGGGACUGCCUGCAAUUGACAAAACUGUGUGGACUCUGAGCAGAGAAUCUGACUUUAGUCAGAGGAGUUAACAAAAACUUUUUUUCAGGAACACUGGCAGCCAAGGACAUGCUCUAUGCCCACUGCUCCCCUUCCCUCCCUUUACUGUGAUAACUUCAAGGUCUCUUCUGCCGGCCAGCCACUUCUCUUGUUAACCCUUCUCUGUCCUGGUAUUGCUUGAAAAGAAAUGUUAAAUUAUCAGUUCAAGAUACUGGGAAAAUUAUGCUUUUGUUUCCACAGGAAAAAUAAAAAAUUUACAUGGUGUGAAACCUCAAUAACCCCCCUUCCUCUAUCCCCUACAGACAAAGAGAAGCCUAAACCAGGAUUCCUAAGUGUAGAUAAGAAGUUAGACCCCUUUUUUCCCAGGUGGCUUUAUCAGCUACAGAAACUUAAAAAAAAAAAAAAAAAACAAAAAACAAACAAACAAACAAAAAAACCACAGAGUCCGAAUAUAUGACCAUCUGACAGAGGCUAAGUGGUCAUAAAACAUCCCAAACUUCUCGAACCCCGGAGACAGCUCGUAAAACUCCUAGACACGGUUGUUUAACAAACAAGAAAUAAAGAUAACAUACUGAUAUGAACCAGAAAGAAUGGAGACAGGCUGUGAGAGAUGAAUUAUGUGGUCUGUGCCUUUAAGAACUAGCCUCACAAAGAAAGGGCGUGAGAGAUUUGGAACGAGCCCCCUGCCGUGGCUUGUAAACUUUGACUUCAUCUGAAUAAACCUUGCUUUUUGCAUUCUGUACCUAAGUCUCCAGGAGGGUUCUUUGGGGGCGAUCUGGGCAUAGCAAUGGGUUUUGGUCAUUUGAGUUCAAUGGGUUACAAAUACUUGCCAUCAUUUAAGAGAAUUGGUUUCAAAUUAUUGUUGGUUAAGAUAAAAAAAAAAUGUUUUAAAAAAUAUGUAAAAUGCAAGUUAUUAGAAUAUGUAAAAGCAAGGUAUAAAGGUCUGAGGAUAAAAAGGCUUAAAUAAUGAUCUAAAAAAAUGACUUGAGAUAUAUAAAAAAAAAAAAUAAAACAUGUUUCAGAUUUCUUUGUCUUGCUAUUCUGCUGUUACAUUGAGACUCCAAAGGGUUAUAGUUGUAAAAAUGUCUGUCUACUGUACAGGUAUGAAUGAAAAAUGUGGCCACAUGUAUGUUUGGUUUUGAAUGUCUGAGUUUGCAUGUCCUUUAUGUUAAGGAAUACAAGUUAAUACUAGUCAUCUGGCUAUUCAGAUACUAGUUUAAAGUAUAAACUGUUCUAUUUUAAUAAAAAAAAACUGAGAGGUAUAUUUAACUAAUAUAUCUAUAGGUGAACAAAUUGGCCUGGUUAUUGUUACCAAACUUAGAGAUAUUUUCAAGAUUGGGCCUAGAUUUGUUUGGCUCAGAUACAUUUAAUAGAUAAUGGUCCUCAAACCUGUCAAGAUCUGUUAAAUAUGGCAUUUACAUUAUUUGAUAAAAAGCUUACUAUAGCAAACAGAGACUCCAAGCUCCCCAGCUCCUAGCAAUGACUCCCAAGGUCUCCAAAAAAGAUAUGGAGCAAUGACAAGAAGAUGCCACCUGAUAUGUGGACAACACUGACCACUGGGCAAGACACUCUGACUCAACACCUGCUGCCAGGGAUUUGGCCUAUGAGACACUGACAAGAUAAGAUCAGUCUUUACCAAGUUGCUCCUCAACAGGGAAAAUUUCACAUUAUGGGCCCAGCAGCCAAGACUGAUGCUGUCCUGACACCUGUCCUGCCAACACUAUGAAGACUAUAGGAGCCUGGGAUGAUGGCAGUCUGGGUAAUGGAUAGUCUCUGUUGUUUUUUAAAUAGAUUUAAAAGUCUGCACUCAGGUAGAGUUUAUCCUUCUCAGAUCUUUGAUAACAUUGAUGACUGGGCUAGCUAUACCUUUGUCAGCUUAGUAAUUGAUUGAUCAAUGGAUUAAUUAAUUAAAGAAAAUAAAAAAAAUAAAGCUAAUAAGGAGAAAAAUAAAGCUGGGAAAUGAAAGGCUGAGAGACACUGCCAGCUGCCACGAUGACAAACAGCAUGUGAAGAUGCCGGUAAGCCACGACCCACGUGGCAAGGUAUAGAUUUAUAAAAAUGGAUUAAUUUAAGCUGUAAGAACAGUUAGCAAGAAGCCUGCCACGGCCAUACAGUUUGUAAGCAAUAUAAGUCUCUGUGUUUACUUGGUCGGGUCUGAGUGACUGUGGGACUGGCAGAUGAGAGAGAUUUUUCCUGACUGUGGGCAAGGCAGGAAAACUCUAGCUACAAGUCUCUUUAAAAAAGGUAAACAGGUUCUAAAUAUAGACUUACAGAUGCUUUUCAUUGGGCCAAAGAAAUUUCAGUCCAAUCUAUGCUUGGCUCUCUAGAUAGAAAAGACACUAUGGAUUUCAGGGCAAAUUGAUAAUACUACAAUUACUAAGACUAUGGGUCUAAAAGUUCCAAAUAAGUUCAUAAGUUUUAACUUCUGUUCCUAGUUUAUAUCUAUCUCAACAGGUUUCCACGUGGCUGACAGAUACAUCCAAGCAUCAUUUGCUGGUGACAACCUACUGCAAAUGACUGAGCCCUGAACUUGCUGAAAGCUGAUAUGGACCAAUUCAGUCGAUAUGCAUACCAUCUCUUCAGCUGGUCAAUAAAACAUUCCCUCUUGUCUUUGACUAACAUUCUGGCUUUCCAGGGCCUUGACAACAACGUCCCAAUGUCAGCAGGAAGUAAUUAUAGAAGAGAAAACAUCGCCCUUGUUUCCCGCCCCCCUGGAAUGUUAGAUCAAAAGGGAAUUUCUUGUCAUAGGGAACCUGAGAUAAAGUUCCAGGUUCCUUGAGGAUAAGGAACUCUGUCAGCCAUCAGAAGGCUUUUGGCCCAUGUGCUUCUGCUAAUUACUGUUGGCUCUUAUAUCACUGAUGUCUUAACUAAAUGAUGAUUCAUGUCUGGGUACCACUAAACUGAGGAUGCUAGAAUUCCAAUAUCCACCUCUGAACCCAUGACAUACUUGCAGAUGGCAAAAACUGAAUAAGGGGAAGCUCGCUUUGCCAUUGAUAAUGGGAAAGCUCUUAUGUUCUGGUCCAAUUAGUCUCUGAUAUGGAAUUCUUUGAACAGAGAGGCAGAUACACUCGAGAACCUGUGUCUAUGACUAUUGCCCUAUUGUUAGGUAUUGGGGGUAUCACUGCAGAAAUUGGUACAGGAACUACUGCCCUCGUGCAGAGCAACCACCUUAUGCAGUUACAAAUGGCUAUGACUACUGACCUAGAGGCCAUAGAAAGAUCCAUUUCUGCUCUGGAGAAAUCUUUAACCUCGCUCUCUGAAGUUGUGUUACAAAACAUAAGAGGUCUGGAUUUACUAUUUUUAAAGGAGGGGGGAUUAUGUGCAGCCUUAAAGAAAGAAUGCUGCUUUUAUGCCGACCAUACUGGUAUUGUCAGGGAAUUGAUGGAAAAAUUAAGGAAAAGGCUAGCCCCCCCCCAAAAAAAAGGAGUUUAAAAAUCAGCACAGGUGGUUUAAAAAUUGGCUGCAAGGGUCCCCCUGGCUCUCCACCUUGCUACCUACCUUGCUACCUAGCCCCCUUAGUUGUUUUUCUCCUUCUCAUUACCUUUGGUCCCUGGGCCUUUCAGCAGUUGACUCAGUUUAUCAAAAAUCAGAUUGAUUCGGCCUCACCACGACACAUCUCGAUUCAUUAUCAUAGAGUAGAUUCCGAGGAGGCCAGCCAGGAGCCCCAUCAAGGACUCAGAUUCAGUGUCCUAAGGCCCUAGCGUCCCCAUGGUCUUGCUAGAGGGUACCCAAUGACGGGAAUAGUACAGGGCUCACGCCGGAGACAACAGCAUACAGAGGUCGUCGAGACCGGCUCAACAUGGCACGCUGCCGAGUGUGGGAAGCCCCCUGUGUAGCCUAAGACAGGGACUCUCUCGGACCCUAGCCACCCCGAUCACAAUGGACUUGGUCCAUUUUUGAGAAAAGGGGAGGAACUGUUGGAGACCGACUCCGGACAGCUAUGUCCUGGACUUUGUCAAGCCUUGACAAGAACUUCCUGACCUAACUGCAGGAGAUGUGACUAGAUAAGACCUUCCUGGCCUAACUGCAGGAGAUGGCGAUUAGGUAAACUUUCUGGAGCCUGUCAACUGCAGGGGGCCUGGGACCAAAGCGACCUCACCCUUCCUCAGGAAUUUUCCAUUCUUCUCUCCUUUUGCUUCCUCUGCUCCCCCUCCCUGCCUGAAGCCCUGCUUAUAAGUCUCAACACCCAGUCAAUAAACGAGACCUUGACGCGA
Molecule: long non-coding RNA, 5724 nt
Organism: Peromyscus californicus insignis
Lineage: Eukaryota; Metazoa; Chordata; Mammalia; Rodentia; Cricetidae
Exons: 2
Source: RefSeq, a predicted model, not a curated record